RNAcentral lists this transfer RNA (67 nucleotides) under Helobdella europaea. Its description in RNAcentral is "tRNA-Arg". The record is from RNAcentral. Lineage: Eukaryota; Metazoa; Annelida; Clitellata; Rhynchobdellida; Glossiphoniidae.
AAACAUUAGCAAAUUUAUGCAUUUCGAUUUCGGCUCGAAAAGAGGGAAAAAUAAGUCCCAAUGUUUA